ACAUGCUGAGGCUAAUUGGAGUUGCUAAAUUGCCCAUAGGUGUGCAUGUGUGAGUGACUGAUGCGUGAGUGUGCCCUGCGAUGGGCUGGCCCCCCAUCCUGGGUUGUUCCCUGCCUCGUGCCCAUUGCUUCCGGGAUAGGCUCCGGACCCCUCGCGACCCAGUAGGAUAAGCGGUUUGGAAAAUGGAUGGAUGGAUGGAAAUUUCCAUGAAAACCUACAGUGGGCUGAAUUCAGAGACACCCUGAAAAUCAAAGUGAAAAAUGAUGCAGCAGGCUAGUCCAUUUUGCUGAAAUUUCAUUACAGUAACAGUAUCAUACUCAGUAGUUUGUAUGGCCCCCACGUGGUUGUAUGCAUGCCUGACAUGGUCCUAAUGAGACCACGGAUGGUGUCCUGGGGGAUCUCCUCUCAGAUCUGGACCAGGGUAUCACUGACCUUCUGGACAGUCUGAGGUGCAACCUGGUGGCAUCGAAUGGACGAAACAUAAUGUCCCAGAAGUAUUCUAUUGGAUUUAGGUCAGGCGAGUGUGGGAGGCAGUCAAUGGUAUCAAUUCCUUCAUCCUCCAGGAACUGCCUACAUGCUCUUGCCACAUGAGGCCGGGCAUUGUUGUGCACCAGGAGGAACCCAGGACCCACUGCACCAGCGUAGGGUCUGACAGUGGGUUCAAGAAUGUCAUCCUGAUACCUAAUGACAGUCAAGGUGCCGUUGUCUAGCCUGUAGAGGACUGUGCGUCCCUCCAUGGAUAUGCCUGCCCAGACCAUCACUGACCCACCACCAAACCGGUCAUGCUGAACAAUGCUGCAGGCAGCAUAACGUUCUCCAUGGCUUCUCCAGACCCUUUCACGUCUGUCACAUGUGCUCAUGGUGAACCUGCUCUCAUCUGUGAAAAGCACAGGGUGCCAGUGGCAGAUCUGCAAAUUCUGGUAUUCUAUGGCAAAUGCCAAUCGAGCUCCAUGGUGCUGGGCAGUCCUCAGGGCACCCUUAUGAUGUCUGUUUCUGAUUGUUUGGUGAGAAACAUUCACACCAGUGGCCUGCUGGAGGUCAUUUUGUAGAGCUCCAGCAGUGUUCAUCCUCUUCCUCCUUGCACAAAGGAGCAGAUACCGGUCCUGCUGAUGGGUUAAGGACCUUCUAUAGCCCUGUUCAGCUCUCCUUGAAUAACUGCCUGUCUCCUGGAAUCUCCUCCAUGCCCUUGAGAUUGUCCUGGGAGACACAGCAAACCUUCUGGCAAUGGCACGUAUUGAUGCGCCAUCCUGGAGGAGUUGGACUACCUGUGCAACCUCUGUAGGGUCCAGGUAUCGCCUCAUGCUACCAGUAGUGACACUGACCGUCGCCAAAUGCAAAACUAGUGAAAAAACUGUCAGAAAAGAUGAGGAGGGAAAAAUGCCAGUGGCCUCCACCUGUCAAACCAUUCCUGGUUUGGGGGUCGUCUCAUUGUUGCCCCUCUAGUUCACCUGUUGAUAAUUUCAUUAACACUAAAGCGGCUGAAACUGAUUAACAACCCCCUCCGCUACUUAACUGACCUGAUCAAUAUCCCAGAAGUUUAAUAGACUUGACGCUAUACUCUGAUUAAAAAGUGUUCCUUCAAUUUUUUAGCAGUAUAUAUUAAUACAUAGAUAUGAAUGUCCAUACAUACACAGACACACUUUCAUACAUAUCUGUAAUGAUUGAAACAUACAAUACAUGAAUCAAACAGUAAUAAUAAUAAUUAAUAAAAAUAACAGCAAAAAAGUAAGGGGGCGGUGGGCGUUGAGGUAGCUUUUAUUCACAAAAUAGUUUGCUGCAAACAUACAUCCAACCAUCCAUUUUCCAAACCGCUUAUCCUACUGGGUCGCUGGGGGUCCGGAGCCUAUCCCGGAAGCAAUAGGCAAAAGGUAGGGAACAACCCAGGAUGGGGGGCCAACCCAUCACAGGGCACAUUCACAUACCAGUCAGGCAAUUUAGCAACUCCAAUUAGCCUCAGCAUGUUUUUGGACUGUGGGGGAAACCGGAGUACCCGGAGAAAAUCCCACAAUGACAUGGGGAGAACACGCAAACUCCACACACGUGACCCAGGCGGAGACUUGAACCCGGGUCCCAGAGGUGUGAGGCAACAGUGCUAACCACUGCACCACCUUGCCGCCCCCGGCAAACAUACAAACAACCAGAAUUCUAGAAAAGUUCUUUACAUUUGAAUGAAAUAAAUAAAACACUUUCAAAUCAAAUGAGCCUAUAUUUUAUUCACAACGGAACAUAGAUAAUAUUACAAAUGUUCAAAGGCCGAAGACCUGUAUUGGAUGCCCGUGGUCUUCGGGCCCUCAGACGACUCUGCAUCACUCAUCGGCAUGAUUGUGUCAAUGACAUUACUAAAUGGGCCCAGGAAUACUUCCAGAGAGCACAGUCGGUAAACACAAUCCGCCGUGCCAUCUGCAGAUGGCAGCUAAAGCUCUAUCAUGCAAAAAGGAAGCCAUAUCUGAACAUGGUCCAGAAGCGCCGUCGUGUCCUGUGGGCCAAGACUCAUUUGAAAUGGACUGUUUCAAAGUGCCCACGACCCAGUAGGAUAAGCGGUUUGGAAAAUGGAUGGAUGGAUGUUUCAAAGUGGGAAAGUGUUCUGUGGUCAGACGAGUCCAAAUGUGACAUUCUUGUUGGUAAUCAAGGCUGCCGUGUCCUCCGGGCUAAAGAGGAGGGAGACCUUCCAGCGUGUUAUCAGCGUUCAGUUCAAAAGCCAGCAUCUCUGAUGGUAUGGGGGUGCAUAAGUGCAUACGGUAUGGGCAGCUUGCGUGUUUUGGAAGGAACUAUGAAUGCUGAAAGGUAUAUAAAGGUUUUAGAGCAACACAUGCUCCCCUCCAGAGGACGUCUGUUUCAGGGAAGGCCUUGUGUAUUUCAGCAGGACAAUGCAAAACCACAUACUGCAGCUAUUACAAGCACAUGGCUUCGCCGGAGAAGAGCCCGGGUGCUGAAUUGGCCUGUCUGCAGUCCAGAUCUUUCACCUAUAGAGAACAUGCAGUAAUUACCUGUAACACCCAUGGUGCACUGUGAGCAGGUAUACAGGCCCACAGAGCAUGCAGAUAAUUAUCUGUGACACCCAUGGUGCACUGUGAGCAGGUAUACAGGCCAACAGAGCAUGCAGAUAAUUAUCUGUGACACCCAUUGUACACUGUGAGCAGGUAUACAGGCCCACAGAGCAUGCAGAUAAUUAUCUGUGACACCCAUGGUGCACUGUGAGCAGGUAUACAGGCCAACAGAGCAUGCAGAUAAUUAUCUGUGACACCCAUGGGGCACUGUGAGCAGGUAUACAGGCCAACAGAGCAUGCAGAUAAUUAUCUGUGACACCCAUGGUGCACUGUGACCAGGUAUACAGGCCCACAGAGCAUGCAGAUAAUUAUCUGUGACACCCAUGGUGCACUGUGAGCAGGUAUACAGGCCAACAGAGCAUGCAGAUAAUUAUCUGUGACACCCAUUGUACACUGUGAGCAGGUAUACAGGCCCACAGAGCA
Molecule: long non-coding RNA, 3470 nt
Organism: Brienomyrus brachyistius
Lineage: Eukaryota; Metazoa; Chordata; Actinopteri; Osteoglossiformes; Mormyridae
Exons: 3
Source: RefSeq, a predicted model, not a curated record